AUUGAACGCUGGCGGAAUGCUUUACACAUGCAAGUCGAGCGGCAGCACGGGGGCAACCCUGGUGGCGAGCGGCGAACGGGUGAGUAAUACAUCGGAACAUGCCCAGUCGUGGGGGAUAACACUUCGAAAGAAGUGCUAAUACCGCAUACGUCCUGAGGGGGAAAGCGGGGGAUCGCAAGACCUCGCGCGAUUGGAGUGGCCGAUGUCAGAUUAGCUAGUUGGUGGGGUAAAGGCCUACCAAGGCAACGAUCUGUAGCUGGUCUGAGAGGAUGAUCAGCCACACUGGGACUGAGACACGGCCCAGAGUCCUACGGGAGGCAGCCGUGGGGAAUUUUGGACAAUGGGGGCAACCCUGAUCCAGCCAUUCCGCGUGAGUGAAGAAGGCCUUCGGGUUGGAAAGCUCUUUCGGCAGGAACGAAACGGUGAGCUCUAACAUAGCUUGCUAAUGACGGUACCUGAAGAAGAAGCACCGGCUAACUUCGUG
RNAcentral lists this ribosomal RNA (484 nucleotides) under uncultured bacterium. RNAcentral's name for it is "partial 16S ribosomal RNA". It matches the Rfam family "Bacterial small subunit ribosomal RNA", at positions 30 to 507 of the family's 1533-position model. The record is from RNAcentral.